Molecule: ribosomal RNA, 367 nt
Filed under: Androctonus amoreuxi
Lineage: Eukaryota; Metazoa; Arthropoda; Arachnida; Scorpiones; Buthidae
Description: partial 16S ribosomal RNA
Rfam family: Archaeal large subunit ribosomal RNA
Source: RNAcentral
AGCAUAAUCAUUAGUCUUUUAAUUUGAGACUGGAAUGAAAGAGUAAACCGGGAGAAUUUUUUUUCAGUUGAGAAAAUGAAUUUUACUUUUUAGUAAGAAGGCUAAAAUUUAACUUUUAGACAAGAAGACCCUAUAAAACUUUAUAUUUUUAUUUCUUAGUUGAAAGAAGAAGUAUUUCGCUGGGGCGGUGGAGGAAAGCCCUUCCUUUAAAAAAAUAAACUUUCUUGUUUAAAUACCUAGAAAUUCUAAAUUAGAAAUAAGUUACUUUAGGGAUAACAGCUUAAUUUACUUAGAAAGAUCAAAUUGACAAGUAAGUUUAUGACCUCGAUGUUGAAUUAAAAGACCUUUUUUGUGCAMAAGCUAAAAA